UUCAUUGUAUCUAUCACAUAUUGUUAAAUGAAAAAGAUUUAAACUUCCAUAUGUCAUAUGUUUUUUUCCAUGCUUGAAUUUUGAAAUAAAAUUAAAUGUUUGUUCACAGGCUUCUGUAUUCCCGUAUGACAACAAAGACAUUGGUUUUAUGUCGUUGUUCAAGCUAUGGAAUGUUCGUCUAUAUUGAUUCGAUAUAGUCGAUAUCGACAACUAAGACAGAGGUUACAGGCAGUUGUUCAAGUUACAGGAUGUUUGUAGAUGUCGAUUCGAUUCUAUAUUGAUGAUAUCGACAACCAAGACAGAGGUUACAGGCAGUUGUUCAAGUUACAGGAUGUUUGUAGAUAUCGAUCCGAUUCUAUAUUGAUGAUAUCGACAACCAAGACAGAGGUUUAAGGCCGCUGUUCCAGUUAUGGAGUUUGUCGAUAUCGACAACAAAGACAGAGGUUUCAGGCUGUUGUUCAAGUUAUGGGAUGUUUGUCAAUAUAGAUUCGAUAUCGUAAUAUCAACAACGACAGAGGUUUAGGGAGAUGGAAUGCUUGUCGAUAUAGAUUUGAUAUCAACUUUUAAGACAGAGGAUUCAUGCCAUGUGGAUAUAACAACAUAAAUAUGAAAAGUCUUGUAUUGAUAUCGAAUCGAUAUCAUCGAUAUCGUUGAGAUAGACACAACAUCUUGUCUUGGACAUACCUCUAGACUUAAGCUUAGACUUAGAAUAAUGUGCAGACUGUACCUGACUAACACGCUUGU
Molecule: long non-coding RNA, 744 nt
Filed under: Mytilus galloprovincialis (Mediterranean mussel)
Lineage: Eukaryota; Metazoa; Mollusca; Bivalvia; Mytilida; Mytilidae
Source: RNAcentral